GAUGAACGCUAGCUACAGGCUUAACACAUGCAAGUCGAGGGGCAGCAUGGUCUUAGCUUGCUAAGGCCGAUGGCGACCGGUGCACGGGUGAGUAACACGUAUCCAACCUGCCGUCUACUCUUGGACAGCCUUCUGAAAGGAAGAUUAAUACAAGAUGGCAUCAUGAGUCCGCAUGUUCACAUGAUUAAAGGUAUUCCGGUAGACGAUGGGGAUGCGUUCCAUUAGAUAGUAGGCGGGGUAACGGCCCACCUAGUCUUCGAUGGAUAGGGGUUCUGAGAGGAAGGUCCCCCACAUUGGAACUGAGACACGGUCCAAACUCCUACGGGAGGCAGCAGUGAGGAAUAUUGGUCAAUGGGCGCAGGCCUGAACCAGCCAAGUAGCGUGAAGGAUGACUGCCCUAUGGGUUGUAAACUUCUUUUAUAAAGGAAUAAAGUCGGGUAUGUAUACCCGUUUGCAUGUACUUUAUGAAUAAGGAUCGGCUAACUCCGUG
RNAcentral lists this ribosomal RNA (490 nucleotides) under uncultured bacterium. Its description in RNAcentral is "partial 16S ribosomal RNA". It matches the Rfam family "Bacterial small subunit ribosomal RNA", at positions 28 to 507 of the family's 1533-position model. The record is from RNAcentral.